GCCCCGGUGGCUCAGUGGUACUUUGCGCAGGCAAAUGUUUGCGUGAAGCACAAAAGAGCGUUACCUUGGUAAGGUAGAGGUCGCGAGUUCAAUUAAGCUAAAGCAUGACUUGGCUUUGAGAGUCUCGCUCGGGGCU
This 136-nucleotide transfer RNA is filed under the name Candidatus Woesearchaeota archaeon. Its description in RNAcentral is "tRNA-Thr". Lineage: Archaea; Nanobdellati; Candidatus Woesearchaeota. The record is from RNAcentral.